This 292-nucleotide ribosomal RNA is filed under the name uncultured bacterium. Its description in RNAcentral is "partial 16S ribosomal RNA". It matches the Rfam family "Bacterial small subunit ribosomal RNA", at positions 505 to 796 of the family's 1533-position model. The record is from RNAcentral.
GUGCCAGCAGCCGCGGUAAAACGUAGGUGGCGAGCGUUAUCCGGAAUUACUGGGCGUAAAGCGUGUGCAGGCGGGCUAGCAAGUGGUGUAUGAAAUCGUCCGGCUUAACCGGGCGUGGUUAUGCCAGACUGCUAGUCUUGAGUGCGAGAGAGGAGCGUGGAAUUCCGGGUGUAGUGGUGAAAUGCGUAGAGAUCCGGAGGAACCCCAGAGGCGAAGGCGGCGCUCUGGCUCGCAACUGACGCUCAGACACGACAGCAUGGGGAGCGAACGGGAUUAGAAACCCCCGUAGUCC